RNAcentral lists this ribosomal RNA (693 nucleotides) under Bacillus tropicus. Its description in RNAcentral is "bacterial SSU rRNA". It matches the Rfam family "Bacterial small subunit ribosomal RNA", at positions 77 to 753 of the family's 1533-position model. The record is from RNAcentral. Lineage: Bacteria; Bacillati; Bacillota; Bacilli; Caryophanales; Bacillaceae.
AGCUUGCUCUUAUGAAGUUAGCGGCGGACGGGUGAGUAACACGUGGGUAACCUGCCCAUAAGACUGGGAUAACUCCGGGAAACCGGGGCUAAUACCGGAUAACAUUUUGAACCGCAUGGUUCGAAAUUGAAAGGCGGCUUCGGCUGUCACUUAUGGAUGGACCCGCGUCGCAUUAGCUAGUUGGUGAGGUAACGGCUCACCAAGGCAACGAUGCGUACCCGACCUGAGAGGGUGAUCGGCCACACUGGGACUGAGACACGGCCCAGACUCCUACGGGAGGCAGCAGUAGGGAAUCUUCCGCAAUGGACGAAAGUCUGACGGAGCAACGCCGCGUGAGUGAUGAAGGCUUUCGGGUCGUAAAACUCUGUUGUUAGGGAAGAACAAGUGCUAGUUGAAUAAGCUGGCACCUUGACGGUACCUAACCAGAAAGCCACGGCUAACUACGUGCCAGCAGCCGCGGUAAUACGUAGGUGGCAAGCGUUAUCCGGAAUUAUUGGGCGUAAAGCGCGCGCAGGUGGUUUCUUAAGUCUGAUGUGAAAGCCCACGGCUCACCCGUGGAGGGUCAUUGGAAACUGGGAGACUUGAGUGCAGAAGAGGAAAGUGGAAUUCCAUGUGUAGCGGUGAAAUGCGUAGAGAUAUGGAGGAACACCAGUGGCGAAGGCGACUUUCUGGUCUGUAACUGACACUGAGGCG